RNAcentral lists this long non-coding RNA (232 nucleotides) under Eucalyptus grandis. RNAcentral's name for it is "long non-coding RNA (EGRA_LNC003924)". Lineage: Eukaryota; Viridiplantae; Streptophyta; Magnoliopsida; Myrtales; Myrtaceae. The record is from RNAcentral.
CUCCAGAGAUUGAAUAGUUUAUACUAGGAAGCACGGACACUCUCCUGAGCCCUUCCGUGUCGCGACACGCAGUGAGUUCCGGCAUGCACGUGUCACAGGGUAGAGGUAGCGGGGGUUGGUGUUCUUGAGGGAGGCAGAGAAGCGGGAGGUGGAGGACUCGUGUGGGCGCCGCGCCCAGCGAUGAGUUCUGAGUUCCCACCCAACGCCUCCGCCGCUGCAGAUCCGAUCUGGC